UGGGGAAUAUUGGACAAUGGGCGAAAGCCUGAUCCAGCAAUGCCGCGUGAGUGAUGAAGGCCUUAGGGUUGUAAAGCUCUUUUACCAGGGAUGAUAAUGACAGUACCUGGAGAAUAAGCUCCGGCUAACUCCGUGCCAGCAGCCGCGGUAAUACGGAGGGAGCUAGCGUUGUUCGGAAUUACUGGGCGUAAAGCGUACGUAGGCGGUGACUCAAGUCAGAGGUGAAAGCCUGGAGCUCAACUCCAGAACUGCCUUUGAAACUAGGUCGCUAGAAUCACGGAGAGGUGAGUGGAAUUCCGAGUGUAGAGGUGAAAUUCGUAGAUAUUCGGAAGAACACCCGUGGCGAAGGCGGCUCACUGGACGUGUAUUGACGCUGAGGUACGAAAGCGUGGGGAGCAAACAGGAUUAGAUACCCGAGUAGUCCCUGAGCGGGCUGGCAAGGCGCAU
This 447-nucleotide ribosomal RNA is filed under the name uncultured bacterium. RNAcentral describes it as "bacterial SSU rRNA". It matches the Rfam family "Bacterial small subunit ribosomal RNA", at positions 355 to 825 of the family's 1533-position model. The record is from RNAcentral.